This is a non-coding RNA of Cinara cedri, 223 nucleotides long. Lineage: Eukaryota; Metazoa; Arthropoda; Insecta; Hemiptera; Aphididae. The record is from the annotation of a GenBank genome assembly.
CAACAUAGCCAUUGGCCAAUUUAAAAGCAUUAUUUAAAUAUUUUAACUUUGUUAUUUAUACCAAUUGUAUUAUAAACGAAUAUUUUCAUUAAAUUAUUUAGUAAACUCUUUCUUCCGUAUGAGUAAACAUUAAUUUAUUUUUAAUAAGGAAUUACUGAACUCAAUAAAAAUUGUAUAAUAUAACAUUCAUUGGAAGUCUUUUUUCAUAAAAUUUGAAAAACCG